Long non-coding RNA from Sarcophilus harrisii (Tasmanian devil), 933 nucleotides. RefSeq lists it as uncharacterized. The transcript has 4 exons. The record is from RefSeq and is a predicted model, not a curated record. Lineage: Eukaryota; Metazoa; Chordata; Mammalia; Dasyuromorphia; Dasyuridae.
UCCAGUUACCUAACAUUUUAGAGUCAGCCUCAUAUCCUGGGAACCAAGCAAAGGGAUCCCCUGUGUCCUCUCAACAAGGUUCAUAUAUUUACCUCCAUACCCAACAUUGGUAUGGAGACAUCCAGCUGAUGGAGACUACAAGACUGAGCUUGGCUCUAGGGACUUAACAGCAACAUCAAGUGAUCAUCUGUUUCUCAUCAAAACACAAUCAAAGAGGGAUCUUGUGUCCUGGGUGCUUAGUCCAUUGUAUGAUGAUGGUGUUUGGUUCCCAAGAGCUUGGUCCUGCUUCUACAACAGGACAGAUACGUUUAGAAAGUUUCAAAGAAAAAAUCUGUCAUUCGUAGCCAUAUCCAAUGAGCUAAUUUAUAAUAAUAAUAACAUUCUUACAGUGCUUUAUGAUUUGCAAAACAUUUUACAUACAUCACUGCAUGUAAACCUCAUAACAACCUUAUAAGAUUCAGCCCAGUCCACUGAUCUGUCAUGAACUUUGUCAUCCAGCGCGCCGAUUAUUCCCACCGCUUUUUUGUCAUUUGUAAAUUUACUAUGGGAGCCGUCACCAUCUUCAUUCAAGUCAUCGAUAACAAUGGCGAUCAGAAGUGAGCUAAGAGGCCUGUGUUUAUAACUAGACAAAAUUAAGCUGAAUGAACCAGAGACAUCUGCUCUUUGAAAGCUUGUUUUGAAUAGUUCGUACCUAAAGAAAAGGGCAUGAGUGAAAUAACAUUUCAAGCACCUCAUUUGCCUGUGAUUCUCAAUUCAGCCUUGGAAGACACUGGCACGGUAUAACAUCCUGAGAUGCAAGUGCCAAAAGAACCAUCCAAGAGGUUUAUGUGGAAGUCAUAGUAUGGGACCCGAGAUAUUUGCCCUAAUUUAGGGUUCCAAUUAAUUAAUAAUGAAUGCAUCAUCCUCAUAAUAAAUGGUCUUUAACAUUUUGAA